Long non-coding RNA from Camarhynchus parvulus, 2081 nucleotides. The record is from Ensembl. NCBI's taxonomy places the organism in Eukaryota, Metazoa, Chordata, Aves, Passeriformes, Thraupidae.
GGCGGGCCGUUCGAACGGCGCUGCCGCUGCUGGCGGCGCUCGGGCCGGGCUCUGGGCGCUGCGGGCUCGCUGUGCCCCCGGGCAGCCCGACGCAACACAGCCCGCCCGGGCAGCUCCGGCCCGGCCUCCCCCGGCCCGGCCUCCCCCCUCUCCGCAGCGCCCGAGGCGCAGGCAAGGCUCCCUUCCCGACGGGACAGGCCGCGCUGCUCCUCCGCCGCCGCUCCGGGACAGACAAUGGGCGAGCAGGGUCCUGGGGAAACGUGGCCUCGCCACACUGCGGAGCAGUGCCCUUCCCUGGCUCAGCGCCCAGUGCCAACAGAACACCUUGCAGGAUCCUCAGCAGCGCAGACAACACUCCAAGAUGCCGGCCUCGGCUUGGAACGGAGCGGUGUCAUGGCGGAGACGACGGCCUUUGUCUCGCAGGGUGUGAAAGCAUCCGUUGUGCUGGCUCCACUGCGGCAGAAUGAUGUCUAAAGGGGGGAAAAGUGCUGGAAGUCCGAGUAGUGCGGCGCUGGCGGGGGAGCCCCAUCCCCAUGGUGCGCGUCCGAGGAAGGGCUCUCGGCGGAGGAGCCUGCUGGAUGCUCAAGAGCAGAGGAUCUAUCAACUGCAGACCAAGCAGAGGGAGAGGCAGGCAGACCUGGAGCAGAAAUGCAGCCAGAGCAGCAGCUCAGCCAGGACCCGGGGGCCAGCCACCAGCUACGGAAGGGAGCUUGGAGCAGGUAGGAGAAGAUACCAGUCCACUCGAGCUCAGCAGCCCAGGCUGAGAAGGGAACUCUACUUGCUGCAUUCAUAGCAGUAAUAAUAAUCUGCUGCUCUUGUUUACAUGGCAGCAUAAGGAAGGGCUGAAGAUGUGACGGUAGAGUCUGUCGCCUCCCAGUGAGGAGGGAAGAUGGGAGGCAGCAGGGAGAUGGCUACAGCUCUGCUGGCUGUUAAUGGGUGGUGGGAUUUCAGUGGCUGUGGGGGUGUGAUGGCUGUCAUGCACAGAUGUUGUGGGUGUUGCUCUGCUGCUGACCUUGGAGAGACAAGAAGAGGAUGGCCACAAAAACACUGCCUCGGGGCAGAGCUGUCCUGGCUAGUGGUGACAUUUACAUGCUGUGAGCCAGGAGAUUAGGAUUGCUCAGACCUGUUCAGCCAUGCUGCUGUGGACAAAACCCUCAGCUUGCUCCUGGACAUCAGGGUGGGAGCACCCUUGUUCCUGCUGCAGGCCUGCUGGGCAGCCUGUGCCUGUCUACCCCAUGCUGGGUCUGUUUGCCCCUGCCCUACCACCCACCCCUGUAUUUCAAAAGCUGUAGAGUCAGAUCCUUUGCUCAGUGUGCGCCCCUGUGUGUGAGCCUGGCUUGGGAAAGCACAUUGCUCCCACCUCUGCAGCCAUCAGCCUGUCUGCCACAUGGCAAACAAGGAUGAGGAGAGCUGAUCCUGGAAGCCUGGGGAACUCCUGCUGCUGCACACUGCAGCAUUACUUACUUAACCUGGUAUCCACUUGCCAUUCCCUUCAGCACCACACACGCCAUUAAAAAUGUGUCUAUUUUAACAACUUGCUAGUGAAAUAUGCUUGGGGUUCUGGUAGAAUAAACGAGGUAUUUUUGACAUUGGAGCACCAGGUACCAGCAUAUUGGAUGCUCAGCACUUCUGGUUUGUCUAAAGCAGCUCAGAGGACAUAAUUUAAAAUAGAGUUGGGGGGUGUCCCCUUUAUUGGUCAAAGUGGAGACAUUUUGUUUCAUUUGAUGUGGUGAUGAUAAAUAUAUUCCUAUGAAUAUGUUAAUAUAUCUAUAUCUAUUCUAUAUCAUAUAUGUUCAUAUAUCAAUACAUACAUUGCAAUAUAUAUGGACACAAUGCACUGAUUACAUUUAUUGAAUUUGAAGGAAAGUUACAAGGUGUUGUUCUAUUUACUCGCACAUCAUCCAUUGUUCUGUGUGUGAGGAGUCAGCCCAGCAUGUGGGCUGAGCUGCGCGUGGCAAGCCCGCAUUCCAACUGCCCACAGUGAAGGUGGGAGCAGGACGUGCCUUUGUCUGUGUUUGUGGAUGGUGGCAGAUGGAUGAAUGUGGGAGAGGGUCAGCAAGUGCCUUUGUUUUGUUCUGCAU